Molecule: long non-coding RNA, 230 nt
Filed under: Aquilegia coerulea
Lineage: Eukaryota; Viridiplantae; Streptophyta; Magnoliopsida; Ranunculales; Ranunculaceae
Description: long non-coding RNA (ACOE_LNC000402)
Source: RNAcentral
AUGGUGGAGCUGGUAUCUUGGAAGUGGCAACAUCCGGCAAUAGGCACAGCAUCCGAAAGCCGGUAAAUAAUUUGGUUUGAUUGACCCUGGCUAUCAACUAGUCCUGGCUAAGUGGCUAUGUAUAAAAUUCUCUUUUCUGGAAAAGGACAUGUGAAUGGUUUUCAAAAUUGGCCAUUUGUGUUUGGAAAAUAGAAUUAUUGUCGACUGAUGAUCUUGUGUUUUGUUACUUU